CUACGGGUGGCUGCAGUGGGGAAUAUUGCACAAUGGGGGAAACCCUGAUGCAGCAACGCCGCGUGGAGGAUGACGCAUUUCGGUGUGUAAACUCCUUUUAUAUAGGAAGAUAAUGACGGUACUAUAUGAAUAAGCACCGGCUAACUCCGUGCCAGCAGCCGCGGUAAUACGGAGGGUGCAAGCGUUACUCGGAAUCACUGGGCGUAAAGCGCGCGCAGGCGGCCCCUUAAGUUGGAUGUGAAAGCCUACGGCUUAACCGUAGAACUGCAUCCAAAACUGAGGGGCUAGAGUCUGGGAGGGGAAGAUGGAAUUAGUUGUGUAGGGGUAACAUCCGUAGAGAUAACUAGGAAUACCAAAAGCGAAGGCGAUCUUCUGGAACAGUACUGACGCUGAGGCGCGAAAGCGUGGGGAGCAAACAGGAUUAGAUACCCGAGUAGUC
RNAcentral lists this ribosomal RNA (439 nucleotides) under uncultured bacterium. RNAcentral describes it as "partial 16S ribosomal RNA". It matches the Rfam family "Bacterial small subunit ribosomal RNA", at positions 339 to 795 of the family's 1533-position model. The record is from RNAcentral.